GUGAUUUCUUAUAUAAGGAAGAUAAUAUUAUCAGUAGCCAGACUUUAUUAAAAAAAUCAGCUCUACCUCAAAGGAUUUCUGAUGCACUGGUUAAAAACACAGCAGCCGAUAAUUCAGUUAAUUUACCAAAUGAUUUACUCUUCAAAGCUGCAGGGGUAGUUUUCCUGAAGAGUGCAAAAACUUCUUUAGCUUCCAAAAUGGUAUAUAGUACAAACAGUGAAGCUAAUAUAGACAAAUCUGAUCAUUCAUCAUCAACAAUAACUGCAUCUGAGAUUAAUAGUUACCGUGGGGUCUAGGUCAACAAUUACUAUUUCUCAUCCAAGCCGUUUUUGUUUAACCGCUACACAUUCCCUGACUCUGCCAAGGAAAAGGUAAUAAUACACUCAGAAUAGACUACUAGUUUUAUGUCAUGUAUCAUCCUAUUCUAUAUAUCUUAUUUAGAACUGAUACAGUAUUUUAUUGUAUUAUAUUUGUUUAAUUAAAUUCUUAGGUAAGCUUUGUUUUUUAGUAUAAAUUAAUAUGAUAUAAUAAUUGGUAUUAGGUAUUAUAUAGGUCACUGUUAAAUGUCUCAAAACCAUUGUACAGGCUAAAUACUCAUAAUAGAAAUCUUAUAACCUAUAAAAAACCUGCAACAUCUUCACAAUUUGAACAUCCUUGUAGUUUUAACUCUUUCCGCUGAAGCAAUACUGUCCCUUUGAAAAAGUCAGCACCAUAGAAGUAUAUAUUAUGUGAUAUAAAGUAAGUUAUAUAAAACUGAGUUUUGUCCAAUAUAACAAUAACAAUAAAAUUAUGCAAAAUAAUAAAAAUUUGUGUCUUAAAA
RNAcentral lists this long non-coding RNA (820 nucleotides) under Anthonomus grandis grandis. RNAcentral's name for it is "uncharacterized LOC126750180". The record is from RNAcentral. Lineage: Eukaryota; Metazoa; Arthropoda; Insecta; Coleoptera; Curculionidae.